CGGCGGACGGGUGAGUAAUGCCUAGGAAUCUGCCUGGUAGUGGGGGACAACGUUUCGAAAGGAACGCUAAUACCGCAUACGUCCUACGGGAGAAAGCAGGGGACCUUCGGGCCUUGCGCUAUCAGAUGAGCCUAGGUCGGAUUAGCUAGUUGGUGAGGUAAUGGCUCACCAAGGCGACGAUCCGUAACUGGUCUGAGAGGAUGAUCAGUCACACUGGAACUGAGACACGGUCCAGACUCCUACGGGAGGCGCAGCC
This 256-nucleotide ribosomal RNA is filed under the name uncultured Pseudomonas sp. Its description in RNAcentral is "partial 16S ribosomal RNA". It matches the Rfam family "Bacterial small subunit ribosomal RNA", at positions 96 to 349 of the family's 1533-position model. The record is from RNAcentral. Lineage: Bacteria; Pseudomonadati; Pseudomonadota; Gammaproteobacteria; Pseudomonadales; Pseudomonadaceae.